GCUGGGCACAGUGGCACAUGCCUGUAAUCCCAGUGGCUCAGGAGGCUGAGGCAGGAGGAUCGCGAGUUAAAAACCAGCUUCAGCAACUUAGUGAGGCCCUGUCUCUA
This 107-nucleotide small RNA is filed under the name Marmota monax (woodchuck). Lineage: Eukaryota; Metazoa; Chordata; Mammalia; Rodentia; Sciuridae. The record is from RNAcentral.